AUGCACACGUUAUCGCAUGAUAGAGUGCGGAAAGAUUUAUCGGUGCAGGAUGAGCCCGCGUCGGAUUAACUAGUUGGCAGGGUAACGGCCUACCAAGGUGAUGAUCCGUAGCCGGCCUGAGAGGGCGACCGGCCACAUUGGGACUGAGACACGGCCCAAACUCCUACGGGAGGCAGCAGUGGGGAAUAUUGCACAAUGGGCGCAAGCCUGAUGCAGCGACGCCGCGUGAAGGAAGACGUAUUUCGGUAUGUAAACUUCUAUCAGCGGGGAAGAAGAUGACGGUACCCGACUAAGAAGCCCCGGCUAACUACGUGCCAGCAGCCGCGGUAAUACGUAGGGGGCAAGCGUUAUCCGGAUUUACUGGGUGUAAAGGGAGCGUAGACGGUGAGGCAAGUCCGAUGUGAAAACCCGGGGCUCAACCCCGGGAUUGCAUUGGAAACUGUUUGACUCGAGUACUGGAGGGGUAAGCGGAAUUCCUAGUGUAGCGGUGAAAUGCGUAGAUAUUAGGAGGAACACCGGUGGCGAAGGCGGCUUACUGGACAGUAACUGACGUUGAGGCUCGAAAGCGUGGGGAGCAAAC
Molecule: ribosomal RNA, 580 nt
Filed under: uncultured rumen bacterium
Lineage: Bacteria
Description: bacterial SSU rRNA
Rfam family: Bacterial small subunit ribosomal RNA
Source: RNAcentral